CUAAAUGACAAGGAUUCCCUUUGGUUUAUCAUCAACCGUUGAUAGAGUCAAUCCAAUGGACAUAAUCCUCUAAUUAUUUUCCUUUCUUUUUUCCUCCUCUCCUCAUCUUGUCUUUCCUUUCCACGCAAAUCACUUCUUUUUUCUUUUCUGUUUUUCUUCUCUUCUCUCGUUGUCUCCUUCUUCUUUUCGUCAAGUUGAAGAAAAAUUGCAAAGCCCAGAAGAUUAAUCGAUGAGUUCUAGAAGAUCUGUGUCAAUGACGAGGCCGAACAUCGACGGACGCACAUGACUGCCACGGCGACACCACUACUUAGCCGAGAGACGCCGUUAAAGUACUAAGGAGACAGAAAAAUAAAUCCGGCGACGGAAGAGUUCUAAGGAGACGGUGGCGGAGCAAAAGGCUUGUACCGCGGGUGGAGUGCCGGUUCUAACCCUCCACCGGUUAGGUUGCAGCCGGCAACUGGACUCGUCGGCAAACGAAAUCCGGCUGAAGACACGGGCGGCGGCUGAAGACUGAAGCGGCGGCUAAAGACUGUUAUGUGUGAUUAGGGUUUUUUUUUGUGUUUUUAGCAUCCGGUUCAACCGGGGUUUUGUAAUUGAUUCAAUUUGGUAACUCUUAACCAUUCCCGGUUUGGGUUCUUUAUUAAUACAAAUAUAUUUAUUAAUUAAAAAAAAA
Arabidopsis lyrata subsp. lyrata is the source of this 673-nucleotide long non-coding RNA. RefSeq lists it as uncharacterized. NCBI's taxonomy places the organism in Eukaryota, Viridiplantae, Streptophyta, Magnoliopsida, Brassicales, Brassicaceae. The transcript is spliced from 2 exons. The record is from RefSeq and is a predicted model, not a curated record.